UCCUUGGUGGUCUAGUGGUUAGUAUUUGUCACUCCCACCUCCACGGCCCAGGUUUGAUUCCUGUUUAGGGAA
Danionella cerebrum is the source of this 72-nucleotide non-coding RNA. NCBI's taxonomy places the organism in Eukaryota, Metazoa, Chordata, Actinopteri, Cypriniformes, Danionidae. The record is from the annotation of a GenBank genome assembly.